GAUGAAGAACGUAGCGAAAUGCGAUAAGUAGUGUGAAUUGCAGAAUUCAGUGAAUCAUCGAACCUUUGAACGCACAUUGCGCCCCUUGGUAUUCCAUGGGGCAUGCCUGUUCGAGCGUCAUUUGUACCUUCAAGCUCUGCUUGGUGUUGGGUGUUUGUCUCGCCUCUGCGUGUAGACUCGCCUCAAAACAAUUGGCAGCCGGCGUAUUGAUUUCGGAGCGCAGUACAUCUCGCGCUUUGCACUCAUAACGACGACGUCCAAAAGUACAUUUUUACACUCUUGACCUCGGAUCAGGUAGGGAUACCCGCUGAACUUAAGCAUAUCAAUAAGCGGAGGA
RNAcentral lists this unclassified non-coding RNA (337 nucleotides) under soil metagenome. RNAcentral describes it as "partial contains 5.8S ribosomal RNA, internal transcribed spacer 2, and large subunit ribosomal RNA". The stretch from base 1 to 120 matches the Rfam family "5.8S ribosomal RNA", at positions 35 to 154 of the family's 154-position model. The record is from RNAcentral.